AUCCAGUUGACGAGUCCCAAGUAAGACGAAACGUGCAUCCUGGAU
This 45-nucleotide non-coding RNA is filed under the name Schistosoma curassoni. Lineage: Eukaryota; Metazoa; Platyhelminthes; Trematoda; Strigeidida; Schistosomatidae. The record is from RNAcentral.